UUUCUAACACAACAUAGUAAUAGUUUUAUUACCAGCUCAAAUUACUGAACUUGGCACUUACUGGCUGAAUCAGAGGGAUGAAAUGGUUGGGUAUGUUAAUGAAAGGAUAAAAUAUGGACAGUAUGCUGACUGCAGAAAGAUCAAUCUGAAAGAAAAGAGUCAUCAAAGGAGUAAAGCUGAAGAAAAGCAUAAUAGGACACAGCAAGAGAUGUUAAGUGUUGUUGUGGUCAUCGUAAAUCCAGCCUUCAGUACCUGUCUGGACCGUCCCAGCCAACCACACAUCCUUAGCUUUCUGGAACUGAGAGGCUGCCUUUUCUGUUGAGCAAAAUAGUAUCUGGGAUUGGGUGAGAUCAUUGUACUAAGUGUUUUUCUCUCUCUGUACAUAGAAAUUGCUAACAUUAGUUGUAUUAAUAAAGUAAGACUUUGAUUUUA
This is a long non-coding RNA of Gavialis gangeticus (Gharial), 432 nucleotides long. RefSeq lists it as uncharacterized. NCBI's taxonomy places the organism in Eukaryota, Metazoa, Chordata, Crocodylia, Gavialidae. The record is from RefSeq and is a predicted model, not a curated record. The transcript has 2 exons.